RNAcentral lists this unclassified non-coding RNA (777 nucleotides) under Hevea brasiliensis (rubber tree). Lineage: Eukaryota; Viridiplantae; Streptophyta; Magnoliopsida; Malpighiales; Euphorbiaceae. The record is from RNAcentral.
UUUUUUUUUUAUCGGAAAUUACGAAACUUCAUGGAUAGUCCAUCACAUACAGAAGUCCUAAACUAUCUUCAGUUAUCAAGCCCUAGAAAAUUAGAGCUCAAAGUCCAUCCAACAACCCAUUUACAAUCGGGUAAGGGAUUCGGUAGAACAAGAUCCGACAUUACCAAAAGCAAGACAAAAUGUCCUUGUUGCCGCAUCAUAGACCGGCGUCUGCUAACUGUGAGGAAAACUCAACACAAAAAAACACUAGUAGAAGCAAAGCUCUACCUCUACUAAAGAAAAGAAGCAAAGCUCUCCAAACAUAAUGUCUCCCUCAAACCAGGUGAGCCAAAAUAAAAUACUGCAUCAAACUGAAAGAAGGUUAGGACCCAUGUAUAUAUCGGUGGAAAUCGAGAUAGGAAUGAUAGAGCUCGGGCCUCUAACUCUCCUCUAUUCCGUAGGAAAAUCAGUGCCCAUAGAUGAUACCACCGCUCCUAUAAGUUGCCAUCCAAGCAAAAAACCCCUGGAAUAAACAUGCAUCCACUUGUAACAAGCAGAUCUAAAAAAAGUACAAACCCCAUCUAAUGAGGGAAACUAAACUCCAGAUUUUUAGACUGUAGGAACAUUACAACAAAGCACAAAACUAAAGAAAAUAAAAAUACUAAGAAAAGAAAGAGGUAGAGGGGGAGGGUUGACGGCUAAAAGGGCGGAUUUCCCUCUCAACUGAGAGCUGAGAUUGGUUUGGGUGUUUUAGAGAAAGGAGAAAACUAAUUUAGAGUGAGAGUUCUUUUAAAAUGG